This is a long non-coding RNA of Peromyscus leucopus (white-footed mouse), 556 nucleotides long. RefSeq lists it as uncharacterized. The record is from RefSeq and is a predicted model, not a curated record. NCBI's taxonomy places the organism in Eukaryota, Metazoa, Chordata, Mammalia, Rodentia, Cricetidae. The transcript has 3 exons.
GGGAAUACAUAUCAGUGACAUUUACCUUGGACUAUGUCUCCAUGCCUGUAAAAACAAGAGGAUGGCAGAGCAGAUCAGGUGGCAUAGGCCAUCCAUUCCACUUUCUUGGUCUGGUUGAUGGCCAGGCAGGAGAUGAUAGAGACCAUUGAAAACUUGACCUGGAAAUACUGUCUGGCAUCUUAUAAGUAUCCAUCAGGACAUCAGAAUUCGACAACCCAGUGUAUGCUUUCAGGAUGUUCCUGUGCACUUUGUUUGAACGUGCAAGAACUAUAGGGCCUGGUGAUCAAAUCUCAACCUUGGAACUCACAGGAAUUCACAUCCUAGCAUUACUUUGGCAGAUGGAGGCUGAAAUUGAAUUGCUGCUGACUGUUGUCCCCUGUUAUGGCCUGUGGAGAUAUGACAAUUGAGGAAGAACUUAAAAGAAUGCCAAGUAACAGAGCAUGAAGCAGUGGGUGUGACUGGUGCUGAAGACAUUUUAUGGCUGGUAGUAUUUGGCAAGAAAAAAAUAUGCAUCCUUGACUGUAGCUUUGCAAAAUAAAUUCCACCAUCAACCAUG